Molecule: ribosomal RNA, 468 nt
Filed under: uncultured bacterium
Lineage: Bacteria
Description: partial 16S ribosomal RNA
Rfam family: Bacterial small subunit ribosomal RNA
Source: RNAcentral
GACGAACGCUGGCGGCGUGCUUAACACAUGCAAGUCGAACGGAAAGGCCCUGCUCUUGUGGGGUGCUCGAGUGGCGAACGGGUGAGUAACACGUGAGUAACCUGCCCUUGACUUUGGGAUAACUUCAGGAAACUGGGGCUAAUAUCGGAUAGGAUCUCCUGCUGCAUGGUGGGGGUUGGAAAGUUUCGGCGGUUGGGGAUGGACUCGCGGCUUAUCAGCUUGUUGGUGGGGUAGUGGCUUACCAAGGCUUUGACGGAUAGCCGGCCUGAGAGGGUGACCGGCCACAUUGGGACUGAGAUACGGCCCAGACUCCUACGGGAGGCAGCGGUGGGGAAUAUUGCACAGUGGGCGGAAGCCUGAUGCAGAAACGCCGCGUGCGGGAUGACGGCCUUCGGGUUGUGAACCGCUUUCGCCUGUGACGAAGCGUGAGUGACGGUAAUGGGUAAAGAAGCACCGGCUAACUACGUG